GCAACGAGCGCAACCCUUGCCAUCAGUUGCUACGAAAGGGCACUCUGAUGGGACUGCCGGUGACAAACCGGAGGAAGGUGGGGAUGACGUCAAGUCCUCAUGGCCCUUAUAGGUGGGGCUACACACGUCAUACAAUGGCCGGUACAAAGGGCAGCCAACCCGCGAGGGGGAGCCAAUCCCAUAAAGCCGGUCGUAGUCCGGAUCGCAGUCUGCAACUCGACUGCGUGAAGUCGGAAUCGCUAGUAAUCGUGGAUCAGCAUGUCACGGUGAAUACGUUCCCGGGUCUU
This 287-nucleotide ribosomal RNA is filed under the name uncultured Hydrogenophaga sp. Its description in RNAcentral is "partial 16S ribosomal RNA". It matches the Rfam family "Bacterial small subunit ribosomal RNA", at positions 1089 to 1382 of the family's 1533-position model. The record is from RNAcentral. Lineage: Bacteria; Pseudomonadati; Pseudomonadota; Betaproteobacteria; Burkholderiales; Comamonadaceae.